RNAcentral lists this long non-coding RNA (448 nucleotides) under Homo sapiens (human). Its description in RNAcentral is "RC3H1 intronic transcript 1 (RC3H1-IT1)". The record is from RNAcentral. Lineage: Eukaryota; Metazoa; Chordata; Mammalia; Primates; Hominidae.
UUUUUUGAGACGGAGUCUUGCUCUGUCACCCAGGCUGGAGUGCAAUGGCAUGAUCUCGGCUCACUACAACCUCUGCCUCCUGGGUUCAAGCAAUUCUUGUGUCUCAGCCUCCCAAGUAGCUGGGAUCACAGACUCAUGCCACCAUGCCCGGCCAAAUUUUGUAUUUUCAGUAGAGAUGGGAUUUCACCACGUUAGCCAGGCUGGUCUUGAACUCCUGAUCUCAGGUGAUCUACCUGCCACGGCCUUCCAGAGUGCUGGGAUUACAGACAUGAGCCACUGCACCCGGCCGAACUUUUAUCUUGAAGUAGAUAGUGUCAACAAAUACAAAAAUAAAAAUAAUGUCUUUAAAUGAGGUGAUCAGGGAAGGCCUUCUCUGAAGGAAUUCAUAUAUUAAUGCCUAUACAGAAGUGGGGAGAAGGUUCAGGGUUGGAGGAAGAGUAGGACAAAC